GAUGAAGAACGCAGCGAAAUGCGAUAACUAGUGUGAAUUGCAGAAUUCCGUGAAUCAUCGAGUCUUUGAACGCACAUUGCGCCCCCUGGUAUUCCGGGGGGCAUGCCUGUCCGAGCGUCAUUGCUGCCCAUCAAGCACGGCUUGUGUGUUGGGUCGUCGUCCCCCCCUCCGGGGGGGGACGGGCCCUAAAGGCAGCGGCGGCACCGCGUCCGAUCCUCGAGCGUAUGGGGCUUUGUCACCCGAUCUGUAGGCCCGGCCGGCGCUUGCCGAACGCAAAACAACCAUUCUUUCCAGGUUGACCUCGGAUCAGGUAGGGAUACCCGCUGAACUUAAGCAUAUCAAUAAGCGGAGGA
Molecule: unclassified non-coding RNA, 353 nt
Filed under: soil metagenome
Description: partial contains 5.8S ribosomal RNA, internal transcribed spacer 2, and large subunit ribosomal RNA
Rfam family: 5.8S ribosomal RNA (bases 1-120)
Source: RNAcentral